This 2089-nucleotide long non-coding RNA is filed under the name Crocodylus porosus (Australian saltwater crocodile). Its description in RNAcentral is "lncRNA (ENSCPRG00005015286.1)". Lineage: Eukaryota; Metazoa; Chordata; Crocodylia; Crocodylidae. The record is from RNAcentral.
UAUUUACUGAACUCUGUCUCUGGUUAUAAGAGAGGAUGGUCCAACUAUAUGAGUUUGAGCCCCAAGGGCUGAAUGGAUACAGAGUCUUGACUCCACUCUGAAUGCAUAAAGGGAUAAUCUCUCUGGGUAUGUAUGUGCUACAUCCCCUGUACGUCAAGUGCCCAACCAUUCCUGCUCUCUGGAGAUAGAGGUCCCAAAAGACAUAAUGAGGAGGAGUCCCUGGAGCAGCUUCACCACUGCAUUUCCAGGUUUGGAAGUGGAGUCAUUAACUGGCUGGUGCAGGGUUUUGAGAAAAUGGUACCUCAGCCAGAGAAAAAGCCUGAGGUCUGUACUCAGCAGCCUGUUGUAUAUCAACCUGCAAACAGCUGUCAGGAAGCAAAGGAAAAGAAGCCUGAGGAGACUGCCAAAAUAGAAGAACCAAAGCUGGAGCCUAAACUGGAACCGAAGCCGGAGCCUCCACCAAAAGAGAGUGCCAGUGAAUCUCUAACUACACAAGAGGCAACUGCAGCUAGCCAGCUGGGGCUUGGAGUCUCUUUUUUCCCUUGGGCUUUAGGUGGUGAUGGUAGCAGGAUGUUUGACUGGUUUGUUCAGGAACUGGAGAAGAUGGUUCCACAGCCUGUGAUCAAGCAGGCUGAUUCGGAAGGAGAAGUGGUAACUGCGUGCCCAGUGGAGGAGAGGGGGAAAGGGGCUUAAAGCCUCUGAAACAAAUGGAAAAUGAAGACGUGGGAGAAUCAUCUUUGCACAAAAUUAAAUUAAACCAACCUGAAGAGAAAAAUACAGUUGGGGGUAGAAACAAAGAGAAAGAUCUGCAAGUUCCUUUCUAAUUACGCCCCAUUCCAAACUUAAACCAGGAGUAAAAGCUGAGGCUCAACUAACUCAGUUGCUCCAUUUUCAAAAGGGAAUUUUAGCUAAACAUCUCAGUAGCUGAAGUUGGAUGCCCCCUUGGCUGGAGUUAGACGCACAGUAACUGUCUGCCUCUGCUGACUGGAAGAGGAAUUUCUGCUACUGGGAAGAACCUGACUCUAAUGCCAAUUCCAGUCAAUAGUAUUGUCAUUUUCUUCUGUUUUCACUUGACAUUGAUUUGUCUGGGUAUGUCAGAGGCAGAGAUUUUGAUUCUUCAGAAUAUGGCUGUAAGGUUUAAUUUGUACUGGGUAUAAGAGCUGAAAAAGAUCCUUUGCACAACCUUCUAAGCAUGGAUCUUCCUACUGUCAUUUCUGAAUUCCUAAAAUGAUUUUAAAGCCACAGCAUACCAAAAUGUUAUCACUUGAAACCUGCUGACAGUUUGAAUUUAAUUCUGUCAGAAAACCUUAGCACAAUACCCAAAUAGCACCUAGCUUCUCAUCAUCAGAGACUUGUGUUCUUUUUCUCCCACUGAAAAGGUAGUUCUGACUUAGCAAGUGGGAAGGGACCUGGUCUGGAACAGAAAAUAUUAGGUGUAUAAAUAAGGUUUAAGUGGCACAUAGGCUUUGUGGCUGUUCUUUGAGCAGGGCUGUAUUUAAUGUAUCCCAAGCAAUUGUGACUUUUCCACAGACAAUGUAGCUUUUCUGGUCUAGCCUGCUAAAAAGUUUCAGAGCAACUCUCAGCAGUUAAAACAUUCCAAGAGAGGCUAUUGUGUGAACUGAACACCUCCAAUAUACAGACACAGAGGCACAGGCACACACAUGCACUCAUGCAUGUUCUGGGCUGGAUUGUUAAAGAACAUUGGGUUGGACUUGAUCUCAUGUGAUCCCUCCUAACCCUACUUUUCUAUUACUAUGAUUAGGUACUCUUUUCCACCCAAGUAUCAUUUACUUUACAACAAGCCAGGCACCCAUGAUGAGGAGUUCCUAUCUAUGCAGCUGAAAUAAUGUUUCUUAUCUGUGUAUUUAUAAUGUGCUUGCUACAUGGCAACUGAGUAACAUUUCUGAAUCUUCCCUAGCGAACAAAAUCCAGUAUUUUUAGCAAAGUGUCUUCUUUUUCUUCUCCUUUGUAUUUUAAAACCUGUUUCUGAACAAAAUUGACUAAAUACAUUGUGUGGCAUUAGUACAAUGCCACCUGGGGUAGUGUUGAGUGAAUGUGUAUUGGAAUUAAAAAUAAAAUCCAAGCUUUG